Molecule: long non-coding RNA, 1038 nt
Filed under: Theobroma cacao (cacao)
Lineage: Eukaryota; Viridiplantae; Streptophyta; Magnoliopsida; Malvales; Malvaceae
Description: long non-coding RNA (TCAC_LNC001204)
Source: RNAcentral
AGAAAUUUACACAUUUCAUAAUCGAAAAUAAGUUUAGAUAUCUAAAACAUUCAUUUAAAGUGAAAUUAUAGCUAAUGGAAUAAAAUAAAAAUAAUGAAUAAAAUAUUCUAAUUUUUCAUAAAACAAUUUUUAUAGAACGCUACGUAAAUAAUUUUUACAACGUAAAAGCAAAAUAAAUUCCUACAUACAGUAGCACACGCAGCCAGGUAUUCAAAACAUUUAACAAUGACAUGUGGGCCCCCGAAUGACUAAAAGUAAUGAAGGUUGUGAACCUACAGUUUUUGAGGAUGCAAGUCCAACUGUAGCCCUCAACAAAAUAAGCUAUCUACCUACUAUCCUGAGCUUGAAAUGGGUGGAAAGAAGGGUGGUGAGAUUAUAUAAUCCCAGUGAGUAAACAAAUAUCAUCUAAAACAUCUAAAGCUAAGUAAAUGGAGACAGAUAAAAUAGAUUAGCAUUUCACCCAAAUAAAUAACGAAGCUUACGAUUUCCUGAAAAGCUUGGCUCGUGCCAAAAUCAUUCUCAUACUCGGUUGUCAGGGAUACCUUGACCUGGGGCUAUCCCAACCGAAUCCGCCAAGACUGUUAAAAAGUCAUGUACGCAUAUAUCAUGUUUUUAUUUUGAAAACAUAGUCGUUCCUUGGCGUUGGUUGAGUUCACCCUCGCAUGGUGGUUUGGCAUGAAGUUAACUCUAAAGUUUUACCUCAAGAGUUACCCUACGCACCUCUUCAACCGAGGUAAGAAUAUACCCGGAUUUCGUGCCCCUCAAAAAGGCUGGUCCACAGAACCCGCCACUGCAGUGACCAAUCUAUAACCCACCAAUUCAAUAAAAAUUCAACAGCAUGACAUGGCAAUUUUAUCAUUAUCCAGCCUAUCAAGGCAAACAACAGUUUAUACAUUUUCAACACAAAUACCCAUCCAGCCAUUCAUGCCCACAUUAUCAUAAGCCAUUCAAUUCAAAACAUAAUUUACAAUACAGCAAGUAGUCUCCAAUUACUCCAUUUUCAAGUCAUCAUUAAAUUUCAAAACAAUUUAUAAAAUC